AAGAGGCUACCACCUAAGCAAGUGGCCAAGUUGCCAUGUAGAAACAAAUUUGUUGUAGUAAACAAUUGUGGGCAUAGGUAGGUGGUAGCACACACACAAAAAUGAAUUGGCAAAAUUUUCUUUGCCCAUAAAUAUGGGGAAAUUCUUUAAUUUAAGGGUAGAAUUUGAUUGACUAGCUCUCAACGGCUAUAGAGCUGGUGAAGAAACCUUAGGAGCUAAGGGAAAGCUCAAGAGAGGGACAACAAGAGUAUUUGCUUAAGGAAAU
This 265-nucleotide unclassified non-coding RNA is filed under the name Hevea brasiliensis (rubber tree). Lineage: Eukaryota; Viridiplantae; Streptophyta; Magnoliopsida; Malpighiales; Euphorbiaceae. The record is from RNAcentral.